Molecule: long non-coding RNA, 475 nt
Filed under: Homo sapiens (human)
Lineage: Eukaryota; Metazoa; Chordata; Mammalia; Primates; Hominidae
Description: non-protein coding lnc-SMDT1-3:30
Source: RNAcentral
CAGGCGAGAAGCAGCCGCGUCCACAUGGCUUCAGGUGUUCACAUGGCAGUAAACGGGCCCCUGCUCUCCUGGGCGCCCCAGCGCGGCGCCCUCCCGCCCACAUCCCGGCCCAGCCCCGCUGGCCUCGCCUCCAGCCCGUAGCCAAGAGGCGAGCGCGGCCGGUGCCCCCGGGGCUGCCAGGGGCCCCGAAGCAGGCGGCGCUGACUCCCGGACGCCGCCCGCUCACACCCGCCGCCUUUGCACCCAAGGCCUCGCGCGACCAGCAGAUGGGGCCACUGAGGUGCAAAGAGUUUAACUUAUCCCAAGUCACACAGUUUGGAAGAGGCUGAGCUGGUAUUUGAACCCAGGUUUUCAGAGGCUGCACUCUUAACCACCAAGCUUCCCAGCACUCAGCAAACACUGGAAAGACAGAGAUGGACCUAGACAGUCAGUAGGACCAAAAGUCUGCAGGCCGAUAGGGAAAGAAUGUAAGAGG